Molecule: ribosomal RNA, 498 nt
Filed under: uncultured Glomeromycotina
Lineage: Eukaryota; Fungi; Glomeromycota
Description: partial small subunit ribosomal RNA
Rfam family: Eukaryotic small subunit ribosomal RNA
Source: RNAcentral
CCAAUAGCGUAUAUUAAAGUUGCUGCAGUUAAAAAGCUCGUAGUUGAAUUUCGGGACUAAUAUGUCGGUCGUGCCUCGGUACGUACUGGCUUAUUGGUUUCUCCUUUCUGAAGAACCAUGAUGUCAUUUAUUUGGUGUCGUGGGGAAUCAGGACUGUUACUUUGAAAAAAUUAGAGUGUUUAAGGCAGGCUCACGCUUGAAUACAUUAGCAUGGAAUAAUGAAAUAGGACGUUUGAUUCUAUUUUGUUGGUUUCUAGGAUCGACGUAAUGAUUAAUAGGGAUAGUUGGGGGCAUUAGUAUUCAAUUGUCAGAGGUGAAAUUCUUGGAUUUAUUGAAGACUAACUACUGCGAAAGCAUUUGCCAAGGAUGUUUUCAUUAAUCAAGAACGAAAGUUAGGGGAUCGAAGACGAUCAGAUACCGUCGUAGUCUUAACCAUAAACUAUGCCGACUAGGGAUCGGAUGAUGUUAAUUUUUUAAUGACUCAUUCGGCGCCUUACG